RNAcentral lists this ribosomal RNA (253 nucleotides) under uncultured bacterium. RNAcentral describes it as "partial 16S ribosomal RNA". It matches the Rfam family "Bacterial small subunit ribosomal RNA", at positions 524 to 776 of the family's 1533-position model. The record is from RNAcentral.
UACGUAGGGUGCGAGCGUUGUCCGGAAUCACUGGGCGUAAAGGGCGCGUAGGCGGCGCGGUAAGCGUGCGGUGAAAGCCCGGGGCUCAACCCCGGGUCGGCCGUGCGGACUGCCGGGCUGGAGCACUGUAGAGGCAGGUGGAAUUCCGGGUGUAGCGGUGGAAUGCGUAGAGAUCCGGAAGAACACCGGUGGCGAAGGCGGCCUGCUGGGCAGUAGCUGACGCUGAAGCGCGACAGCGUGGGGAGCAAACAGG